Molecule: long non-coding RNA, 538 nt
Organism: Coregonus clupeaformis (lake whitefish)
Lineage: Eukaryota; Metazoa; Chordata; Actinopteri; Salmoniformes; Salmonidae
Exons: 3
Source: RefSeq, a predicted model, not a curated record
GCUGCAUUCUAAUAAGCUAGUCCCAAAUAGUUCGUGGAAUACAUCUUGAUGUAUUGAAUCGCAUUGCAAAAACAAGCUACUUAUUCGCAUUACGCGUCAUUCGAGAGCAUUCAAACAGGACUCAGUGUACUGCUUUUUCUGUUACAUUAGUAAUAACAGCAGCAUUGACUGAAGACAGCAGGAGCGCAAGACAACGCGUGUAUCUCUGAGUGCAGCACUAGCGGAGGAAUAUUUGAGCUUUUAUUUACUCUGCGCUUGUUGUUCAUUUUUCUGCUUUAUGGUUAACUUGUACAGUCACGUGUGAAGAUUUCUAGAAGCUGAACGUACAAAGACUUCUUCUCACCUGGUGGCUCUUGUUUUCCUAGAGGAAAUAAACCUGCGUUUUGAUCCUCUGCAGACAUCUCUGGACUGGAUUCCUUCCCCUCCUGAGACAGACAACAACCACACGUUUUCACCCUCAGGGAUGAAAUAUGCAACGGCUGUGAGAAGAGCACACACAUUCUGAAGUCCAAAGUAGUGAGUCAUACUGUCUUUUACA